AGCAGCCGCGGUAAUUCCAGCUCCAAUAGCGUAUAUUAAAGUUGCUGCAGUUAAAAAGCUCGUAGUUGAAUUUCGGGACCAUCAUGUCGGUCGUGCCUCGGUACGUACUGGUAUUGUUGGUUUCUCCCUUCUGACGAACCAUGAUGUCAUUUAUUUGGUGUUGUGGGGAAUCAGGACUGUUACUUUGAAAAAAUUAGAGUGUUUAAAGCAGGCUCACGCUUGAAUACAUUAGCAUGGAAUAAUGAAAUAGGACGUUUGAUUCUAUUUUGUUGGUUUCUAGGAUCGACGUAAUGAUUAAUAGGGAUAGUUGGGGGCAUUAGUAUUCAAUUGUCAGAGGUGAAAUUCUUGGAUUUAUUGAAGACUAACUACUGCGAAAGCAUUUGCCAAGGAUGUUUUCAUUAAUCAAGAACGAAAGAUAGGGGAUCGAAGACGAUCAGAUACCGUCGUAGCCUUAACCAUAAACUAUGCCGNCNAGGGAUCGGAUGAUGUUAAUUUUUUAAUGACUCA
This 507-nucleotide ribosomal RNA is filed under the name uncultured Glomeromycotina. RNAcentral describes it as "SSU rRNA". It matches the Rfam family "Eukaryotic small subunit ribosomal RNA", at positions 569 to 1078 of the family's 1831-position model. Lineage: Eukaryota; Fungi; Glomeromycota. The record is from RNAcentral.